RNAcentral lists this transfer RNA (85 nucleotides) under SAR324 cluster bacterium. Its description in RNAcentral is "tRNA-Ser". It matches the Rfam family "tRNA". From Rfam's summary of the family: Transfer RNA (tRNA) molecules are approximately 80 nucleotides in length. The record is from RNAcentral. Lineage: Bacteria; Deltaproteobacteria.
GGGUAGAUGAUCGAGUGGUUUAAGGUGUUAGUUUUGAAAACUAAUGUAUUUAACAGUACCGUGGGUUCGAAUCCUACUCUAUCCG